Molecule: long non-coding RNA, 1285 nt
Organism: Saccoglossus kowalevskii
Lineage: Eukaryota; Metazoa; Hemichordata; Enteropneusta; Harrimaniidae
Source: RefSeq, a predicted model, not a curated record
AAACAUUCGUGUCAUCAACUGACGUUUCCAUACCAGUAUUGCUGCACUCAUCGGUUCGACAACGAGAAGGAACAGAGCACAAAUAUUUCCGAUUGCAUUGUGUAACAAACAUACAUUCAGACGAGUCAUUGAUACAUAAACGCAAGACACUGUCGAAAGAUAAACAUGAAGAUCAAUAUUCUUCUAGUUCUAAUGACAGUCACAUUGGUGGCCGGCACCAAUCCGACUAAUUUGUGCACACUUGUUUGUAACAGACUUGCAGGCUAUCAAUUGAGUGGAUUCAAUGCACAGGGAUGCCUCACCACGUGUGAAAAUUGUGAUGACGACGUACCCGAUGAAACUACCACAUGGGUAGAUUUCAUGGACGAUUGUACUAAUAAGCAAUAAAAGGAAAAAUUGUCACAUGACCAGAUUGCGCGUUGUCGGACUACUUCUAUUCUAUAUUCUAUAUUCUACUUCCUUAACUAGAUCCUACCUAUGACCUCUGAGCCCCUUCUCCCUGGGAAAUAAAUCACCCACAAUUGCACUUAGCUAAUACAGAUAAGAAUUGACAAUACGCCAUUUACAUUCAUUACAUUUACAUUCAGUUGACACGUGAUGAGUGUAAUGCCUGAUAUUAGAAUGAGGUCAAGGAUCAAAUAGAUUGUUGGGCUUAGUUAUAACUAUGCUAGUUAUUGUUAUUGAAAAUAUAUAGUUAUAUAGAAGUAAUACUAUCAAAUCCCAUUUAUGAGGUAACCUCUGUAUGUCAUAUAUAAGCCACAUACUAUAACACUGACAUAGUCUAGAGAACAAUUGAUCUAUAUAUGCUAGGUUUGGACAACAACUUAACAUCCAUGUAAAAAUCCUGCUUUAAAGGCGACUAAGAAUGUACUCAUGUAAGUGGGUUAAUUACAAUGUUUUACAAGUUACAGUGGAGAGUAACAACUUUAUAAUGGCAUCAUAAGUUCAUGCAUACCUUCUUAUUUGUGGGCGCACUAUAAGUUCAGUAAAAUCACGAGCAAAGGAAUGCCUCUGUCUUAACUUGCAUGUAAACAACAAUCGUAAUAUUGUAUCAUUUAAUUUUUUGAAUGUAAUAAUAACAUUAUAUUUUGCAUUACUCUUGCGCAUGACGUCAUUAUAAGUACAUUGACCUCUUGCGCGAGACAUAUUGCGUACUAAAUAAUCAUGUUAGCUUUACGCGGACGCUGUCUAUACUUGGUGAUAUUUUCUGUGGUGUAUUACUUAUCUAUCUAUAUACAAUCUGUAAUUAACAACUUAUUGGGAAUAAAAUACAUGAGGGAAAUCA